CAAAUACACGCUGCCAACGAGUGACAACGGGAGCUACUGGACGCUAUUUUCAACCCUCAGCUUCGGUUCCACAGAGCAGGUUUGGUCAUUAAACCUUCAGUUGAUCUUUCUCUCCUUCCUGUCAUCUGUUCUCUCAGCAACCAUAUGA
This is a long non-coding RNA of Sander lucioperca (pikeperch), 148 nucleotides long. RefSeq lists it as uncharacterized. The transcript is spliced from 3 exons. The record is from RefSeq and is a predicted model, not a curated record. NCBI's taxonomy places the organism in Eukaryota, Metazoa, Chordata, Actinopteri, Perciformes, Percidae.